CAGGAUGAACGCUGGCGGCGUGCCUAAUACAUGCAAGUCGAGCGAACUGAUUAGAAGCUUGCUUCUAUGACGUAGCGGCGGACGGGUGAGUAACACGUGGGCAACCUGCCUGUAAGACUGGGAUAACUUCGGGAAACCGAAGCUAAUACCGGAUAGGAUCUUCUCCUUCAUGGGAGAUGAUUGAAAGAUGGUUUCGGCUAUCACUUACAGAUGGGCCCGCGGUGCAUUAGCUAGUUGGUGAGGUAACGGCUCACCAAGGCAACGAUGCAUAGCCGACCUGAGAGGGUGAUCGGCCACACUGGGACUGAGACACGGCCCAGACUCCUACGGGAGGCAGCAGUAGGGAAUCUUCCGCAAUGGACGAAAGUCUGACGGAGCAACGCCGCGUGAGUGAUGAAGGCUUUCGGGUCGUAAAACUCUGUUGUUAGGGAAGAACAAGUACAAGAGUAACUGCUUGUACCUUGACGGUACCUAACCAGAAAGCCACGGCUAACUACGUGCCAGCAGCCGCGGUAAUACGUAGGUGGCAAGCGUUAUCCGGAAUUAUUGGGCGUAAAGCGCGCGCAGGCGGUUUCUUAAGUCUGAUGUGAAAGCCCACGGCUCAACCGUGGAGGGUCAUUGGAAACUGGGGAACUUGAGUGCAGAAGAGAAAAGCGGAAUUCCACGUGUAGCGGUGAAAUGCGUAGAGAUGUGGAGGAACACCAGUGGCGAAGCGGCUUUUUGGUCUGUAACUGACGCUGAGGCGCGAAAGCGUGGGGAGCAAACAGGAUU
Molecule: ribosomal RNA, 771 nt
Filed under: Bacillus sp. ZR(2010)
Lineage: Bacteria; Bacillati; Bacillota; Bacilli; Caryophanales; Bacillaceae
Description: bacterial SSU rRNA
Rfam family: Bacterial small subunit ribosomal RNA
Source: RNAcentral